CCCCCCCCCCCCCAAAAGAUAAUUAUGUUCUAUGCAUAUCCAUGUGAUUAUCUUGUAAUGCAUGUUAAUUAGAGACUUUAAAUCAUUGGUUUUCCUGGCUGAUUUAGCAACCCAUUCCAUACUCUUAUACAAUAGAGAUGUCAAAAUAGCCUCCAUCCUAAUAUUUUUAGUUUGUUUUGGGACAUGUAUACAGCAGCAUGUUGUAGCAGUUUUUUUUUAAAUAUGAGAACAAACUAGAACAUAGGAAAAAAUAGUAGACAUAAAGAGUGUAUGUUUUUAUAUAAAUACAGAUAUAUAUGUUGAGUACAUGUGAUAUAUAGCACACAUAACUACAGUCUUGACUUGAUCUACUGCCACUCUCUUCCCUUCUUAUUAUCAUGGGCCUGUAGCAGAAACAAAAACAUCGGGUACCAAAGUUAAUAUCACAUUUCCUUUGAUAGAUCUAAACUCACAGCAAUUAAAUCUAACAAUUACCAAGGGAGACACUCUGAAUAUAGACUUGGUGACAAUGCUAAGGGAGGGGGGGGGGGGG
This is a non-coding RNA of Biomphalaria pfeifferi, 532 nucleotides long. The record is from the annotation of a GenBank genome assembly. Lineage: Eukaryota; Metazoa; Mollusca; Gastropoda; Planorbidae.